AAAUGCCUCGAGAUAUGCCGAGUGGGUAUUAAAUAGUGCACGAUGACGAAAUGGUGGGCACGGCUGAUGUCAUCUGGGUUACGCCUCCAGCAAAUAUCCAGCCGCUGUCCUGCCGACGCAGAGGAGGAACGGGAGUGCAUGACCCAAAGAGGGCCCAGUAGUAGGCAUGUUCAGCUGUCCAAUAGCGCGUGGUGUCGUACACCAUUCA
RNAcentral lists this long non-coding RNA (208 nucleotides) under Volvox carteri. RNAcentral describes it as "long non-coding RNA (VCAR_LNC003717)". The record is from RNAcentral. Lineage: Eukaryota; Viridiplantae; Chlorophyta; Chlorophyceae; Chlamydomonadales; Volvocaceae.